GCUUUGGAAUUCCCGGAGUAGCGCUUACAAUGCGCAGAUAUCGGGAGGUACACCGCUGCCGAAAUCGGCACCCUGGGGUGCACACUGACGCUGAGAGACGACAGCUAUGGGGAGCGUACAGGAUUAGAGACCCUGGUAGUCCUAGCCGUAUACGAUGGAUGCUAGGUGUGGGAGUGAAGAACUUCUGUGCCGCAGCGAACGCGAUAAGCAUCCCGCAUGGGGAGUACGGCCGCAAGCUUCAAACUCAAACGAGCUGACGGGGACCCGCACAAGCAGCGGAGCGUGUGCUCUAAUUCGAUGCUACACGAAGAACCUUACCUGGGAUUGACAUAUGGGUGCUAGUGAGCCGAAAGGCAAGCGACCCUUCGGGGAGCCUAUACAGGUGCUCGCAUGGCUGUCGUCAGCUCGUGCCGUGAGGUGUCGGGUUAAGUCCUGUAACGAGCGCAACCCCUGUCUUUAGUUACAAGUGUUUAAGGGGACUGCCGGCGGGAAGCCGGAGGAAGGUGUGGAUGACGUCUAGUCAGCAUGGCCCUUAUAUCCAGGGCGACACACACGUUACAAUGGUCGGCUACAGAGGGCAGCGAAGCCGCGAGGUGGAGCGAAACCCAGAAACCCGGUCGUAGUUCGGAUUGCAGGUCUGCAACUCGCAGUGCAUGAAGUUGGAGUUGAUAGUAACACGCAGGUCAGCCAUAAUGCGGUGUAUACGUUCCCGGG
RNAcentral lists this ribosomal RNA (714 nucleotides) under uncultured organism. RNAcentral's name for it is "bacterial SSU rRNA". It matches the Rfam family "Bacterial small subunit ribosomal RNA", at positions 658 to 1378 of the family's 1533-position model. The record is from RNAcentral.